This 68-nucleotide ribosomal RNA is filed under the name Pseudomonas coronafaciens pv. porri. Lineage: Bacteria; Pseudomonadati; Pseudomonadota; Gammaproteobacteria; Pseudomonadales; Pseudomonadaceae. The record is from RNAcentral.
CGACCAUAGAGCAUUGGAACCACCUGAUCCCAUCCCGAACUCAGCAGUGAAACGAUGUAUCGCCGAUG